This is a long non-coding RNA of Microtus oregoni (creeping vole), 149 nucleotides long. RefSeq lists it as uncharacterized. The transcript is spliced from 3 exons. NCBI's taxonomy places the organism in Eukaryota, Metazoa, Chordata, Mammalia, Rodentia, Cricetidae. The record is from RefSeq and is a predicted model, not a curated record.
CUCAGGUCCUGUGUGAUGAAUUCAGAUGAGGCAAGGAAUGGCUGUUUCAGAGGCCCGGAACAAAAUAAGAGCCAUGGAGGACGUCUCCAGGAGCUGCACAUGAUCUACCUACAAGGGAAACAAAACAGGAUUUGGGGCUGGGAUGGAGA